This 337-nucleotide unclassified non-coding RNA is filed under the name uncultured Saccharomyces. Its description in RNAcentral is "sequence contains ITS1". Lineage: Eukaryota; Fungi; Ascomycota; Saccharomycetes; Saccharomycetales; Saccharomycetaceae. The record is from RNAcentral.
AUAUUUUAAAAUUUCCAGUUACGAAAAUUCUUGUUUUUGACAAAAAUUUAAUGAAUAAAUAAAAUUGUUUGUGUUUGUUACCUCUGGGCCCCGAUUGCUCGAAUGCCCAAAGAAAAAGUUGCAAAGAUAUGAAAACUCCACAGUGUGUUGUAUUGAAACGGUUUUAAUUGUCCUAUAACAAAAGCACAGAAAUCUCUCACCGUUUGGAAUAGCAAGAAAGAAACUUACAAGCCUAGCAAGACCGCGCACUUAAGCGCAGGCCCGGCUGGACUCUCCAUCUCUUGUCUUCUUGCCCAGUAAAAGCUCUCAUGCUCUUGCCAAAACAAAAAAAAAAACC